UACGAAGGUGGCAAGCGUUACUCGGAAUUACUAGGCGUAAAGGGCAGGUAGGUGGUUUGGUAAGUCUGUUGUGAAAGCUCCUUGCUUAACGGGGAGAGGUCAACAGAUACUGCCAGGCUUGAGUAUGGGAGAGGGUACUGGAAUUCCCGGUGUAGCGGUGAAAUGCGCAGAGAUCGGGAGGAACACCGAUGGCGAAAGCAGGUACCUGGACCAUUACUGACACUCAGCUGCGAAAGCUAGGGGAGCAAAC
RNAcentral lists this ribosomal RNA (250 nucleotides) under uncultured bacterium. RNAcentral describes it as "partial 16S ribosomal RNA". It matches the Rfam family "Bacterial small subunit ribosomal RNA", at positions 524 to 773 of the family's 1533-position model. The record is from RNAcentral.